GAUGAACGCUGGCGGCGUGCCUAAUACAUGCAAGUCGAGCGAACAGACGAGGAGCUUGCUCCUCUGACGUUAGCGGCGGACGGGUGAGUAACACGUGGAUAACCUACCUAUAAGACUGGGAUAACUUCGGGAAACCGGAGCUAAUACCGGAUAAUAUAUUGAACCGCAUGGUUCAAUAGUGAAAGACGGUUUUGCUGUCACUUAUAGAUGGAUCCGCGCCGCAUUAGCUAGUUGGCAGGGUAACGGCUUACCAAGGCGACGAUGCGUAGCCGACCUGAGAGGGUGAUCGGCCACACUGGAACUGAGACACGGUCCAGACUCCUACGGGAGGCAGCAGUAGGGAAUCUUCCGCAAUGGGCGAAAGCCUGACGGAGCAACGCCGCGUGAGUGAUGAAGGUCUUCGGAUCGUAAAACUCUGUUAUUAGGGAAGAACAAAUGUGUAAGUAACUAUGCACGUCUUGACGGUACCUAAUCAGAAAGCCACGGCUAACUACGUG
RNAcentral lists this ribosomal RNA (497 nucleotides) under uncultured bacterium. RNAcentral describes it as "partial 16S ribosomal RNA". It matches the Rfam family "Bacterial small subunit ribosomal RNA", at positions 28 to 507 of the family's 1533-position model. The record is from RNAcentral.